RNA transcript from Brassica oleracea var. oleracea, 1026 nucleotides. It is a transcript of the gene named cyclin-dependent kinase B2-1-like, with no coding region annotated. The record is from RefSeq and is a predicted model, not a curated record. The transcript is spliced from 7 exons. Lineage: Eukaryota; Viridiplantae; Streptophyta; Magnoliopsida; Brassicales; Brassicaceae.
CUCAAUUAAAUCAACCAAUAGGAGACAUUCGUUUUGCCACGUCAUCAGUAUUUGUCCUGAAGCUCGAGAAAGUCGGCGAAGGCACUUACGGGAAGGUUUACAGAUCCAGAGAGAAAGCUACCGGAAAGACGCGUCUCCAUGGAGACGAAGAAGGCGUUCUUUCCACCACUCUCCGCAAGAUCUCCAUCUUACGCAUGCUCGCUUGCGAUCCUCACAUCGUCAGGUUGAUGGAUGUUAAGCAAGGACUGAGCAAAGAUGGCAAAACUGUGCUCUACCUGGUGUUCGAGUACAUGGACACUGAUGUCAAGAAGUACAUCAGAAGUUUCCGUUAAACCGGAGACAACAUUCCUCCCCAAAUCGUCAAGAGCUUGAUGUACCAACUCUGCAAAGGAAUCGCAUUCUGCCAUGGCCACGGUGUGCUGCACAGAGAUCUGAAGCCUCACAAUCUCUUGAUGGAUCCCAAGACGAUGAGGCUCAAGAUUGCAGAUCUUGGUUUAGCCAGAGCCUUCACUCUCCCUAUGAAGAAGUAUAACCAUGAGUGGGUAUUGAAUGCUAGAAGCUCUAUAUUCAGGAAAAGCACCAGGACUUACCUGGUAUCAGGCAUACUUUGAUGCGCCAGGGGUUUAGUAAUUUAAGUUUUCUUUUUCCAUCUGAAGAAGAUUCUUUAACGAAACAAGGAAAAUAAAUUAGUACGUAUUCCUCUUAGUAUCACUAGACAUGAAAAUAAAAGUUUUGUGCUCACUUCACCACCACAGACAUUAUAGACUGCAUACUGGGAAAGUUGAUAACACUGAAACAUCACAUGAGUGGUGCUAUAUCUCAUGUUCCAAGAGCUCCUGGAAACUGCAGCGUGGGCUUUCAUCUUUCGUGUGUGGAUCCUAUCAUGAUGAAAAAGCUGUUGGCAUUGUAAGUACCGGGUGGAGAUGGCAGUAUCAGAUGCAUCCGACUAUGCUCUGUUUGUGGCUUUCGAUGCUGAGAUGAACAAGCUGAUGAAUGUUCCUGCUGCAUGAGUGUCUCAAGACAUGG